CUGCGCGCCGCAGCAGCGACUCGUCCAAGAAAUGGUACCCCGGACCUACGCGGAGAGAAGGCGAAAGCCGCCGUGAAGACCGUUCGGGCCGGCGUGGCGGCGUGCCCCCGUCCCGUGCCCAGUGUAACGCCGGCCGGGGUACUGAUCAUGAGCUAGGAAGUACAGUGUGCGACGGUGAUGGUAGUAACUGAUUGAAGAAGGCGACGAUUUUUUGGGAUUGUUUUCUCCUGUAACUAUUCUGCUCGUCUGCGCAACUCCUUGCCGAGGGCAUACGAGUAAAUUAAUUAAUAAUAAAAAAUGGUUGAU
Molecule: long non-coding RNA, 306 nt
Filed under: Hordeum vulgare
Lineage: Eukaryota; Viridiplantae; Streptophyta; Magnoliopsida; Poales; Poaceae
Description: long non-coding RNA (HVUL_LNC005712)
Source: RNAcentral